Long non-coding RNA from Syngnathoides biaculeatus (alligator pipefish), 1111 nucleotides. RefSeq lists it as uncharacterized. NCBI's taxonomy places the organism in Eukaryota, Metazoa, Chordata, Actinopteri, Syngnathiformes, Syngnathidae. The record is from RefSeq and is a predicted model, not a curated record. The transcript is spliced from 4 exons.
UGUUGCGGACGGGUCUAGAAUUUAUCCAGCGGGGGGUUCACGGUGAGCUGACUUCUCAUACGUUGUCACACGACGACAAUCCGUCCUCCAUUUUUUUUUUUUUUGUCGGAAGCAGUCAUGGGCAGAAUGAACACUAAUUGAUUUAACGGCGAGUUAAGAAUCCGGGCGACGUGGCGAGUUGUUGAUACAUUAAUUAACAUUUCGCUAGUUUCACUUCACAUCUCACAGGUGACCUUGAACAGACGAAAUGAGUUGAAGAGUUGCAAGUCAGCAGCGAGCUGAUUAGGAAUGCGGCGUGCAUCCUGGACUUCCCGUUUGGUAAUCUGUCUUUUUUUUGCUGUUCUUUCUCCCGCGGACUUUCCAUUUUGCCUCUGCCAAGCCUCUACGACAACGCUGCUCCAGCCAGGAAGUCAUGCUGGUCCUCGCCUGCCAAUGUGUCUGAACUGGCUUUCUUAGGAGCACGUAUACGGCGAAACCGGUGGCAGCUCAUACAACAAUAGACACCCUACAAGAUAUACACACACCCAAGCAGUAGCCACGGCCUUGAGAUGUUCCGGCGGUGAUCUCGAAACCUCGUGGAGUGAGAUCCUGAUCUGUCCCGGGACAUUAUCCUGUCGGCGCUCGCGCACAUUGACACUUCGUGAGGACAAGCGGGCACCGAGCGAGCGCAAGUCGUUUUCUCUCCGGCUUUCUGACGAGAGACGUCUUCCAUGACAGAGUCAACAAAGUGUCAAGGAUGAUGGAAGAUGAAAAAAUAAAAAAGAGGAUCCGUUAGAACUGUUACUGGCUGAAUUUUGGAAACUAUUCCCACUUUCCGAUUUCCUCAUCCAGUCAGACAUGUUUGAAAAUACACUCACUCAGUAUUGACCAGCUUUUUGUUUAUGAGAAUGUAUUUUUGAUGCACUUUCUUUCUUUUGCGUUUUUUUUUUUAAAGGGUCACUUCCAGUUUUUGACUGAAAGGGCUUUAAUAUGCUAGUAGUUACUAACGUCCAGAUGAAAACGCUUUGCAUCUGCAUGUAAAUCAUAGGGUCUCAUUUUAUAGGGUCUGGGACCCCAGCUUUUUCAUCCAUCCAUUUUCUUUGCCGCUUAUCCUCACAAGGGUCGCAGGGAG